GACAGAGGGGGCAAGCGUUGCUCGGAAUCACUGGGCGUAAAGGGCGCGUAGGCGGGAUGGCAAGUCAGUCGUGAAAUCUCUCGGCUCAACCGAGAAACGUCGGCUGAUACUGCCGUUCUUGAGGGAUGCAGAGGAGACUGGAAUUCCCGGUGUAGCGGUGAAAUGUGUAGAGAUCGGGAAGAACACCAAUGGCGAAGGCAGUCGGCUGGGCCGUUGCUGACACUGAGGCGCGACAGCGUGGGGAGCAAACAGG
Molecule: ribosomal RNA, 253 nt
Filed under: uncultured bacterium
Lineage: Bacteria
Description: partial 16S ribosomal RNA
Rfam family: Bacterial small subunit ribosomal RNA
Source: RNAcentral